RNAcentral lists this long non-coding RNA (1430 nucleotides) under Lynx canadensis (Canada lynx). RNAcentral's name for it is "lncRNA (ENSLCNG00005014528.1)". Lineage: Eukaryota; Metazoa; Chordata; Mammalia; Carnivora; Felidae. The record is from RNAcentral.
GCCCGCUGACGUCAGUGCUGGGAACCUGAGCCGGGCUUGCGGGCCGAGGGAGGCGCCGGGAGAAAAGGGGAGCCGGGGAGGGGCCGAAGCCUCUGGGCGGAGGAGUGCUGCGUCCAGUUCGCGGCCAGAAUGCCUGGACCUCCUCUCCUCUCCGCCGGUCCUUCCAGAUUUAGGUCACCGGCCACCUCCUCCAAGAAGCCUCCGCUGAUAACACCUCUCUCUCCCACGCGGCCCCUUCUCUGGCUCCCACAUUUUCCAACGCCCACGGUCAGAACCAAUCACUCGGACGCUUUGUCACCUUUUAACCGCUUUGCCCUGUUUGUUAAAUAGGUUUCUCUGGGCUCUUCGGAAAUGUGGACCAAGUCUUGUAUUUACUUAGGCAAUAAUCCCGUCUCCCCCAAACAUGUUCUGCCCUUCCUCUGCACCGAUGCCUUUUCUCUUGCCUGCUAGCAUCCAAGUCUUACCUGUUUGAGGGGGAAGGGUGGGAGCAGUGUUGCAAGACUUUUCUGUCCCCGCAAGUUAUUUUUCUAGUCUCGCCUUCCUUUGAAUGCCAAAAUUUUUGAAUAAGUGGUCUGCUCUCAACUGCACACAUUUUCCUGGCCACUCCCUUUUCCUCCUCCUCCCCUCUUCCCCCAGCCCUCCCUCAUGUCCUUCCUCCUUGUGGAUUGAAGCUUUUGUAAACAUGGGCUCUUGCGGGAAAGAACCCAGCCUCAGUGUCCGAGAUCCACAUGCAGGACCGUCAGGACCUGGUCCGGUCACAGGCACUGGGCAGAUGUCCACUGGAUGGGCAGAGAACUUCGAACCCACAUCCCGGAGUCUGGCAUACAUCUGGCCCCAAGACCAGUUGCUUCUUCAUAUCUAGAUGACUGCAGUAGACUUGUCAAACGCCAUCCCCAAAUGACCCUUCCUGCUGUUGGUAGAGCUGCAUUCCAACAGGUCUGCAUUCACUUGCUCUUUAGCUCAGAUCAUUCUGAGGCACCCUCCACCCCCAUUCAUCUGGACUCCUUUGCCUAAUAUUAAGAUCUUUCGGGAUUUGGCCCCAUCCACCUUUUUAGGUUUCUGCCACUUUGUGCUCUAGGCUCAUCCUCCUUGCUGUUCUCUAAGCAUCAGGCUCUGCAGCCCAGAGCCCCCAGCAUUUUGCCCGUGAUCCCCAGCCCUGCCCUGUAACAUAGCCCCCGUUCCAGGUGUGCCUGAAUGUGCCGGGCUCUGCUGCACUGUGGCUCAUGCCAUUCUGCCCUGGACACCUCGCUGCCUCCUUCUCACCUCUCCCAAACCCCCACACUCCCGAAGGCCCAGUUGAAGCUUGGUCUUCCACUCUCAAAACCCGCACCGACCAUUCUCCCACUACAGAAUUAAUGUUAUCCAUACCAUUUAUGUGGCACUCAUAGUCUGUGGUUUGGUGUUAUUAGGGGUAUUUUUAGAGGUUGACA